CGUACACUCCUGCGGGAGGCAGCAGUGGGGAAUAUUGGACAAUGGGCGCAAGCCUGAUCCAGCCAUGCCGCGUGAGUGAUGAAGGCCCUAGGGUUGUAAAGCUCUUUCACCGGAGAAGAUAAUGACGGUAUCCGGAGAAGAAGCCCCGGCUAACUUCGUGCCAGCAGCCGCGGUAAUACGAAGGGGGCUAGCGUUGUUCGGAAUUACUGGGCGUAAAGCGCACGUAGGCGGAUCGAUCAGUCAGGGGUGAAAUCCCAGGGCUCAACCCUGGAACUGCCUUUGAUACUGUCGAUCUGGAGUAUGGAAGAGGUGAGUGGAAUUCCGAGUGUAGAGGUGAAAUUCGUAGAUAUUCGGAGGAACACCAGUGGCGAAGGCGGCUCACUGGUCCAUUACUGACGCUGAGGUGCGAAAGCGUGGGGAGCAAACAGGAUUAGAUACCCCAGUAGUCCCAUG
This 453-nucleotide ribosomal RNA is filed under the name uncultured organism. RNAcentral's name for it is "partial 16S ribosomal RNA". It matches the Rfam family "Bacterial small subunit ribosomal RNA", at positions 330 to 799 of the family's 1533-position model. The record is from RNAcentral.